GAUGAACGCUGGCGGCGUGCCUAAUACAUGCAAGUCGAGCGAACGGACGAGAAGCUUGCUUCUCUGAUGUUAGCGGCGGACGGGUGAUUAACACGUGGAUAACCUACCUAUAAGACUGGGAUAACUUCGGGAAACCGGAGCUAAUACCGGAUAAUAUUUUGAACCGCAUGGUUCAAAAGUGAAAGACGUUCUUGCUGUCACUUAUAGAUGGAUCCGCGCUGCAUUAGCUAGUUGGUAAGGUAACGGCUUACCAAGGCAACGAUGCAUAGCCGACCUGAGAGGGUGAUCGGCCAAACUGGAACUGAGACACGGUCCAGACUCCUACGGGGGGCAGCAGUAGGGAAUCUUCCGAAAUGGGCGAAAGCCUGACGGAGCAACGCCGCGUGAGUGAUGAAGGUCUUCGGAUCGUAAAACUCUGUUAUUAGGGAAGAACAUAUGUGUAAGUAACUGUGCACAUCUUGACGGUACCUAAUCAGAAAGCCACGGCUAACUACGUG
Molecule: ribosomal RNA, 497 nt
Filed under: uncultured bacterium
Lineage: Bacteria
Description: partial 16S ribosomal RNA
Rfam family: Bacterial small subunit ribosomal RNA
Source: RNAcentral